This 513-nucleotide ribosomal RNA is filed under the name uncultured bacterium. Its description in RNAcentral is "partial 16S ribosomal RNA". It matches the Rfam family "Bacterial small subunit ribosomal RNA", at positions 28 to 523 of the family's 1533-position model. The record is from RNAcentral.
GACGAACGCUGGCGGCAUGCCUAAUACAUGCAAGUCGAGCGAACAGAUGAAGUGCUUGCACUUCUGACGUUAGCGGCGAACGGGUGAGUAACACGUAAGGAAUCUACCUAUAAGCGGGGGAUAACAUUCGGAAACGGGUGCUAAUACCGCAUAAUACCUUCUUUCGCAUGGAAGAAGAUUGAAAGACGGCUCUGCUGUCACUUAUAGAUGACCUUGCGGUGCAUUAGUUAGUUGGUGGGGUAACGGCCUACCAAGACGAUGAUGCAUAGCCGACCUGGGAGGGUGAUCGGCCACAUUGGGACUGAGACACGGCCCAAACUCCUACGGGAGGCAGCAGUAGGGAAUCUUCCGCAAUGGGCGAAAGCCUGACGGAGCAAUGCCGCGUGAGUGAAGAAGGCCUUCGGGUCGUAAAACUCUGUUAUAAGAGAAGAACAAAUUGUAGAGUAACUGCUACAGUCUUGACGGUAUCUUAUCAGAAAGCCACGGCUAACUACGUGCCAGCAGCCGCCGUAA